CGGAUAACUGGGGUGAAGUCGUAACAAGGUAGCCGUAUCGGAAGGUGCGGCUGGAUCACCUCCUUUCUAAGG
RNAcentral lists this ribosomal RNA (72 nucleotides) under Drancourtella massiliensis. RNAcentral describes it as "partial 16S ribosomal RNA". It matches the Rfam family "Bacterial small subunit ribosomal RNA", at positions 1468 to 1533 of the family's 1533-position model. The record is from RNAcentral. Lineage: Bacteria; Bacillati; Bacillota; Clostridia; Eubacteriales; Oscillospiraceae.